GACGAACGCUGGCGGCGUGCUUAACACAUGCAAGUCGAACGGAAAGGCCCUGCUUGCAGGGUACUCGAGUGGCGAACGGGUGAGUAACACGUGGGUGAUCUGCCCUGCACUUCGGGAUAAGCUUGGGAAACUGGGUCUAAUACCGGAUAGGAGCCAUCUUUAGUGUGGUGGUUGGAAAGUUUUUUCGGUGUAGGAUGAGCUCGCGGCCUAUCAGCUUGUUGGUGGGGUAAUGGCCUACCAAGGCGGCGACGGGUAGCCGGCCUGAGAGGGUGUACGGCCACAUUGGGACUGAGAGACGGCCCAGACUCCUACGGGAGGCAGCAGGGGGGAAUAUUGCACAAUGGGCGCAAGCCUGAUGCAGCGACGCCGCGUGGGGGAUGAAGGCCUUCGGGUUGUAAACUCCUUUCGCUAGGGACGAAGCUUUUUGUGACGGUACCUAGAUAAGAAGCACCGGCUAACUACGUG
RNAcentral lists this ribosomal RNA (465 nucleotides) under uncultured bacterium. RNAcentral's name for it is "partial 16S ribosomal RNA". It matches the Rfam family "Bacterial small subunit ribosomal RNA", at positions 28 to 507 of the family's 1533-position model. The record is from RNAcentral.